This 234-nucleotide ribosomal RNA is filed under the name uncultured bacterium. RNAcentral's name for it is "partial 16S ribosomal RNA". It matches the Rfam family "Bacterial small subunit ribosomal RNA", at positions 524 to 755 of the family's 1533-position model. The record is from RNAcentral.
UACGUAGGGUGCAAGCGUUGUCCGGAAUUAUUGGGCGUAAAGAGCUCGUAGGCGGUCUGUCGCGUCUGCUGUGAAAACUCAGGGCUUAACCCUGAGCUUGCAGUGGGUACGGGCAGACUAGAGUGCGGUAGGGGAGACUGGAAUUCCUGGUGUAGCGGUGAAAUGCGCAGAUAUCAGGAGGAACACCGGUGGGCGAAGGCGGGUCUCUGGGCCGUAACUGACGCUGGAGGAGCG